RNAcentral lists this ribosomal RNA (1523 nucleotides) under Megalopsalis triascuta. RNAcentral's name for it is "partial large subunit ribosomal RNA". It matches the Rfam family "Eukaryotic large subunit ribosomal RNA", at positions 442 to 1841 of the family's 3401-position model. Lineage: Eukaryota; Metazoa; Arthropoda; Arachnida; Opiliones; Neopilionidae. The record is from RNAcentral.
UCGGUGUUUAUAGCCAGUUCGUUUUACGAGUGCGCGUUCAUCAGACUGGGGACGAUUUUUAGCCCUGUGCGGGCUACGCCGAGCACUCCCUCGUUGGAGCGUUGCGGGGUGACUGGAUGUGCCCGCGGUUUUUGGGAGCCUCACCUUUGCGUGGACUACCGCCGCGGGUCUCCGUAAGCUCAUUCCGUACUCGCCGUUGCUCAGGUGGUCAGCAGCGAGUAGGUCGGUAACCCACCGACCCGUCUUGAAACACGGACCAAGGAGUCUAACAUGUGCGCGAGUCAUUGGGUCUUGAUUAGGCCCAAAGGCGUAAUGAAAGUGAAGGGCGGUUCGGCCGUCUGCCUUGGGAUCCCGUGGACCUCGCGUUCGCGGGCGCACCAAGGGCCCGUCCCGGUCGCCUCGUCGACGGGGCGGAGCAAGAGCGUACACGUUGGGACCCGAAAGAUGGUGAACUAUGCCUGGGCAGGACGAAGCCAGAGGAAACUCUGGUGGAGGUCCGCAGCGAUUCUGACGUGCAAAUCGAUCGUCAGACCUGGGUAGGGGCGAAAGACUAAUCGAACCAUCUAGUAGCUGGUUCCCUCCGAAGUUUCCCUCAGGAUAGCUGGCGCUCGGAGGAUGCAGUCUCAUCCGGUAAAGCGAAUGAUUAGAGGCCUUGGGGUCGAAAAGACCUCAACCUAUUCUCAAACUUUAAAUGGGUGAGAAGUCCGGUUUGCUCGACUGAAGCCCGGACGGCAACUUGGAUGCGAGUGCCAAGUGGGCCACUUUUGGUAAGCAGAACUGGCGCUGUGGGAUGAACCAAACGCCGGGUUAAGGGGCCCGAUGCGAGACGCUCAUGAGAUCCCAUGAAAGGUGUUGGUUGCUAUAGACAGCAGGACGGUGGCCAUGGAAGUCGGAAUCCGCUAAGGAGUGUGUAACAACUCACCUGCCGAAGCAACUAGCCCUGAAAAUGGAUGGCGCUUCAGCGUCGACCCCAUACCCGGCCGCCGCGGCCGAAAAGCCUCGUGUUUUAAGCCGCGGUGAGUAGGAGGGGCGCGGAGGCGAGCGUCGAAGGUGCCGGGCGUAAGCCCGCCUGGAGCCGCCUCCGGCGCAGAUCUUGGUGGUAGUAGCAAAUACUCAAGUGAGAACCUUGAGGACUGAGGUGGAGAAGGGUUCCAUGUGAACAGCAGUUGAACAUGGGUCAGUCGGUCCUAAGGGAUAGGAGAAAUCCGUUCCGAGGCGGGACCUCCUCAAAUGUUUUUGAAAGUCCCGCUGAUGACCGAAAGGGAAUCGGGUUAAUAUUCCCGAACCCGGACGCGGAGAUCGUCCUCUUCGGAGGUACAUUGCGGUAACGCAAACGAGCUCGGAGACGUCGACGGGAGCACCGGGAAGAGUUAUCUUUUCUUUGUAAGGAUUCGACUCCCUGGAAUCGGCUCGCCCGGAGAUAGGGAUGGUGUUUCCGUAAAGCACCGCGCCUCUUGCGGUGUCCGGAUCGCUCCCGUCGGCCCUUGAAAAUCCGAGUGAGAGAUAGUGAUUUUCGUGCCGGA